This is a non-coding RNA of Acanthosepion pharaonis, 101 nucleotides long. Lineage: Eukaryota; Metazoa; Mollusca; Cephalopoda; Sepiida; Sepiidae. The record is from the annotation of a GenBank genome assembly.
ACAGCCACACCACAUUAAAACACCCGUUUCCGCACGAUCACCAACGUUAAGCAACGUGGAGCCUUGUCAGUACCUAGAUGGGUGACCGUUUGGGAAUAUAU